AACGCACCUUGCGCUCCUUGGUAUUCCGAGGAGCAUGCCUGUUUGAGUGUCUUGAAGUCAUCAACCCCUCCCGUUUCGUGCGGAGAGGUCGGUUGGAGCUGGGGGCUUUGCGGCCGUGAGGUCGCUCCCCUCAAAUGCUUCGGUUGGGCCUUUGGGUCGAACUCGGCUGGGCGUUGUACCAUCCUCGCUCUUGCGUUCGAGAUGCUCCCAUCUUUUUGCGCCCUUCCCCGACAGCCUCUUGAAUGGUGGCGGUCAAAAGGGGGAAACCCCAUUGAAAUCUGACCUCAAAUCAGGUAGGACUACCCGCUGAACUUAA
Molecule: unclassified non-coding RNA, 316 nt
Filed under: uncultured fungus
Lineage: Eukaryota; Fungi
Description: sequence contains ITS2
Rfam family: 5.8S ribosomal RNA (bases 1-52)
Source: RNAcentral